GGAAACAGACGCUAAUACCGCAUAAGAUAGCAGUAUCGCAUGGUACAGCUAUCAAAGGAGCAAUCCGCUGAAAGAUGGGCUCGCGUCCGAUUAGAUAGUUGGUGAGGUAACGGCUCACCAAGUCGACGAUCGGUAGCCGGACUGAGAGGUUGAACGGCCACAUUGGGACUGAGACACGGCCCAGACUCCUACGGGAGGCAGCAGUGGGGAAUAUUGCACAAUGGGCGAAAGCCUGAUGCAGCAACGCCGCGUGAGGGAAGACGGUUUUCGGAUUGUAAACCUCUGUCCUUGGUGAAGAAAGAAAUGACGGUAGCCGAGGAGGAAGCCACGGCUAACUACGUGCCAGCAGCCGCGGUAAUACGUAGGUGGCGAGCGUUGUCCGGAAUUACUGGGUGUAAAGGGAGCGUAGGCGGGUCGGCAAGUCAGUGGUGAAAUACAUGGGCUUAACCCAUGAAUUGCCAUUGAAACUGCCGGUCUUGAGUGGAUCAGAGGCAAGCGGAAUUCCGAGUGUAGCGGUGAAAUGCGUAGAUAUUCGGAGGAACACCAGUGGCGAAGGCGGCUUGCUGGGGUCUAACUGACGCUGAGGCUCGAAAGUGUGGGGAGCAAACAGGAUUAGAUACCCUGGUAGUCCACACUGUAAACGAUGAUUACUAGGUGUGGGGGGUCUGACCCCCUCCGUGCCGGAGUUAACGCAAUAAGUAAUCCACCUGGGGAGUACGGCCGCAAGGUUGAAACUCAAAUGAAUUGACGG
RNAcentral lists this ribosomal RNA (751 nucleotides) under uncultured bacterium. RNAcentral describes it as "bacterial SSU rRNA". It matches the Rfam family "Bacterial small subunit ribosomal RNA", at positions 152 to 916 of the family's 1533-position model. The record is from RNAcentral.